GACGAACGCUGGCGGCGUGCUUAACUCAUGCAAGUCGAACGGUAAGGCCCUUCGGGGUACACAAGUGGCGAACGGGUGAGUAACACGUGGGUGAUCUGCCCUGCACUUCGGGAUAAGCCUGGGAAACUGGGUCUAAUACCGGAUAGGACCACUGCCUGCAUGGGUGGUGGUGGAAAGCUUUUGCGGUGUGGGAUGGGCCCGCGGCCUAUCAGCUUGUUGGUGGGGUGAUGGCCUACCAAGGCGACGACGGGUAGCCGGCCUGAGAGGGUGACCGGCCACACUGGGACUGAGAUACGGCCCAGACUCCUACGGGGGGCAGCAGUGGGGAAUAUUGCACAAUGGGCGCAAGCCUGAUGCAGCGACGCCGCGUGAGGGAUGACGGCCUUCGGGUUGUAAACCUCUUUCAGCACCGACGAAGCGCAAGUGACGGUAGGUGCAGAAGAAGGACCGGCCAACUACGUGCCAGCCGCCGCCGUAA
RNAcentral lists this ribosomal RNA (478 nucleotides) under uncultured bacterium. Its description in RNAcentral is "partial 16S ribosomal RNA". It matches the Rfam family "Bacterial small subunit ribosomal RNA", at positions 28 to 523 of the family's 1533-position model. The record is from RNAcentral.